GCACCCUGAUCCAGCCAUGCCGCGUGUGUGAAGAAGGCCUUUUGGUUGUAAAGCACUUUAAGCAGUGAAGAAGACCUAACGGUUAAUACCCGUUAGCGAUGACAUUAGCUGCAGAAUAAGCACCGGCUAACUCUGUGCCAGCAGCCGCGGUAAUACAGAGGGUGCAAGCGUUAAUCGGAAUUACUGGGCGUAAAGCGAGCGUAGGUGGCUUGAUAAGUCAGAUGUGAAAUCCCCGGGCUUAACCUGGGAACUGCAUCUGAUACUGUCAGGCUAGAAUAGGUGAGAGGAAGGUAGAAUUCCAGGUGUAGCGGUGAAAUGCGUAGAGAUCUGGAGGAAUACCGAUGGCGAAGGCAGCCUUCUGGCAUCAUAUUGACACUGAGGUUCGAAAGCGUGGGUAGCAAACAGGAUUAGAUACCCUGGUAGUCCACGCCGUAAACGAUGUCUACUAGUCGUUGGGUCCCUUGAGGACUUAGUGACGCAGCUAACGCAAUAAGUAGACCGCCUGGGGAGUACGGCCGCAAGGUUAAAACUCAAAUG
Molecule: ribosomal RNA, 537 nt
Filed under: Psychrobacter proteolyticus
Lineage: Bacteria; Pseudomonadati; Pseudomonadota; Gammaproteobacteria; Moraxellales; Moraxellaceae
Description: bacterial SSU rRNA
Rfam family: Bacterial small subunit ribosomal RNA
Source: RNAcentral